This is a long non-coding RNA of Grammomys surdaster, 563 nucleotides long. RefSeq lists it as uncharacterized. Lineage: Eukaryota; Metazoa; Chordata; Mammalia; Rodentia; Muridae. The transcript has 2 exons. The record is from RefSeq and is a predicted model, not a curated record.
CUGGGCUAUGCUGAGCAGACACAUGAAGUCACCUGGGCAGGAGCCGGCGUGGCUCUCUCAAGGCACUGUUUACCACUGGGGUUGCUUUGAGCCUGCCAAACUGAGUUCUGCUCUGGACUUACAUUUGGGUCCCUGAAAGCAGAAAGAACUGUACAGCACACGGUGACUUCACCAAGGGGCUUCUGUGUCCCUGUCUUUGGAAGUGUCAACUGUUUUAUUUAUGGGGAAAGAACAGAGAAUGGAGUUGGAGUAGAACUUCCUGAGCUGAAUCUACAAGUUUAAUCCUAGGACUCUGGAGGAUGAGGCAGGAUUGUCUUGAGUUCCAGGCCACGAGAAGCCCACAGUCUGCUGGUGCCAUGGUGACGAAACCGGAGCCGGGGUGCAUAAAGAAUGUCCUAGAAAGUGAAAGCUGGGCGUGAUGGUGCAGCACUCCAAUGCCACUGCCGCAGUUCGAGGCCAGUCUAUGCUACACAGUGAGGCCUUAAGGUGCCCCCUCUCCCAAAUUCAGAUAAAAUGUUUCAAUGACUCCCAGCUCUGGAAUAAAGACCACAAUGAAGACCACA